UGAUACCCUGGUAGUCCACGCUGUAAACGAUGUCGACUUGGAGGUUGUGCCCUUGAGGCGUGGCUUCCGGAGCUAACGCGUUAAGUCGACCGCCUGGGGAGUACGGCCGCAAGGUUAAAACUCAAAUGAAUUGACGGGGGCCCGCACAAGCGGUGGAGCAUGUGGUUUAAUUCGAUGCAACGCGAAGAACCUUACCUACUCUUGACAUCCACGGAAUUCGCCAGAGAUGGCUUAGUGCCUUCGGGAACCGUGAGACAGGUGCUGCAUGGCUGUCGUCAGCUCGUGUUGUGAAAUGUUGGGUUAAGUCCCGCAACGAGCGCAACCCUUAUCCUUUGUUGCCAGCACGUAAUGGUGGGAACUCAAAGGAGACUGCCGGUGAUAAACCGGAGGAAGGUGGGGAUGACGUCAAGUCAUCAUGGCCCUUACGAGUAGGGCUACACACGUGCUACAAUGGCAUAUACAAAGAGAAGCGAACUCGCGAGAGCAAGCGGACCUCAUAAAGUAUGUCGUAGUCCGGAUUGGAGUCUGCAACUCGACUCCAUGAAGUCGGAAUCGCUAGUAAUCGUAGAUCAGAAUGCUACGGUGAAUACGUUCCCGGGCCUUGUACACACCGCCCGUCACACCAUGGGAGUGGGUUGCAAAAGAAGUAGGUAGCUUAACCUUCUGA
Molecule: ribosomal RNA, 667 nt
Filed under: bacterium LB-24
Lineage: Bacteria
Description: bacterial SSU rRNA
Rfam family: Bacterial small subunit ribosomal RNA
Source: RNAcentral